Hevea brasiliensis (rubber tree) is the source of this 1410-nucleotide long non-coding RNA. RefSeq lists it as uncharacterized. Lineage: Eukaryota; Viridiplantae; Streptophyta; Magnoliopsida; Malpighiales; Euphorbiaceae. The record is from RefSeq and is a predicted model, not a curated record. The transcript has 2 exons.
ACGACCGGCUAUGUUAUAUGGUAGUGAGUGUUGGGCACUGAAAGAGUCGUAUGCAUCUAAGAUAAGAGUUGCAGAGAUGAGAAUGUUAAGGUGGAUGAGUGGCCAUACUAGACUAGAUAAAGUCCGUAAUGAGAGUAUUAGAGAAAAGGUAGGAGUGGUGCCAAUUGAAGAUAAGUUGAGAGAAGGGAGAUUGAGGUGGUUUAGUCAUGUGAAGCGUAGAUAUACGGAGGCUCCAGUUAGACAAGUAGAGCACAUUAGGUUAGAGGAUAGAAAGGAAAAAAAGGGGUAGACUUAAAUUGACUUGGAGGAGAGUAGUACAACAUGACCUUGAAGCAUUACACAUUUCUGAGGAUUUAACCCAAAAUCGUUCAGAGUGGAGAAAGCGAAUCCAUAUAGCCGACCCCAAAUUUUUGGGAUAAAAGCUUAGUUGAGUUGAGUUGAGUUGUAGUGAAGAUGCAGGCUCAAAAUGCACUCACUUUUUUAUGUUUCCUCUUAGCGAGCAUUUGCAGGAACACCAAGAAUUUCUUAGUAACCCGGUUCCUUAGCUUUGCAAGUUGCUUGAAAAAUUAGAAAAGCAUGAAACCACAAAAUCUGCAGAGAGAAAGAAAGGUGAGACAUGCGGAAUGAAUAUAUCUCCAUUUCCCGGAAUUUUUACAAACGAAUUCCUGUACAGCGAUACGGUAACGUUCUGAGAAAGUAUAAAAGGGCACGAGCCAAAGAAACGUCUGAUUCCUUGAACAAAAAGUGGCAGUAGAAGAAAAUAGAGCCUCCUGAGCAAAAAUAAAAAAUAGCUUUCCUUUGCAUGGCGAUUUCCUUUGUAGUUUGGUUAAAUAAGUAGUUUCGAAUUCUGUGAAUGAUGCGUUAUGUAAGCGCCGAAGUUGGCUUCAAUUCGAAGACAGAAAUCUCUAGAUGUUCAUAUCCUCACGGGCUUCGAAGAUAUAUAUUAAUACAAAUGGCAACCUCAAAAGUUAGAUUUUGAGACUGAAAUUGCCUGGAGAAAGCGCAGCCUCCGUACUUGAGAAUUGGGUCGUUAGUGGCCGCAAGGUUACACUCUCCCAGCUCAGAUACAUCUCUGGAAUGCUCCCAAAAUCUACACGAUGCAAGCACGCACGCACUUGAGGUUCCUCCAAUUAUUUCUUUCUUUUAACCUUAACAAAUUCACUGUUAGUUUCUUGUUUUCCAUUUCAAUAUUGUUUUACGGCCCAGUUUACCCUUCUUUAUGUGGGAAUGUUUUGCUUUUGUUUUGUUUCUCUGUGGAAUUGUCAUUCAUACUCUUGUGAAAUUGCACAAUUAUGUGGUUAGAGAGAGGAGUGAGUUAACAAUUUGUGGAAAGGUACACAUUUAGAUAUUGAAGAAGGAAAAAAAAAAUCUGCAUCUUUAUCUAAAUAUAGCUCUUGGCAAUUCAGAUUU